AGUCGAGGGGUAUAGUUCUUCGGAAUUAGAGACCGGCGCACGGGUGCGUAACGCGUAUGCAAUCURCCUUUUACAGAGGGAUAGCCCAGAGAAAUUUGGAUUAAUACCUCAUAGUAUGCAGAGUUGGCAUCAACACUGCAUUAAAGUCACAACGGUAAAAGAUGAGCAUGCGUCCCAUUAGCUAGUUGGUAAGGUAACGGCUUACCAAGGCUACGAUGGGUAGGGGUCCUGAGAGGGAGAUCCCCCACACUGGUACUGAGACACGGACCAGACUCCUACGGGAGGCAGCAGUGAGGAAUAUUGGACAAUGGGCGCAAGCCUGAUCCAGCCAUGCCGCGUGCAGGAUGACGGUCCUAUGGAUUGUAAACUGCUUUUGUACAGGAAGAAACAACUCUACGUGUAGAGUCUUGACGGUACUGUAAGAAUAAGGAUCGGCUAACUCCGUGCCAGCAGCCGCGGUAAUACGGAGGAUCCAAGCGUUAUCCGGAAUCAUUGGGUUUAAAGGGUCCGUAGGCGGUUUAGUAAGUCAGUGGUGAAAGCCCAUCGCUCAACGGUGGAACGGCCAUUGAUACUGCUAGACUUGAAUUAUUAGGAAGUAACUAGAAUAUGUAGUGUAGCGGUGAAAUGCUUAGAGAUUACAUGGAAUACCAAUUGCGAAGGCAGGUUACUACUAAUGGAUUGACGCUGAUGGACGAAAGCGUGGGUAGCGAACAGGAUUAGAUACCCUGGUAGUCCACGCCGUAAACGAUGGAUACUAGCUGUUGGGAGCGAUCUCAGUGGCUAAGCGAAAGUGAUAAGUAUCCCACCUGGGGAGUACGUUCGCAAGAAUGAAACUCAAAGGAAUUGACGGGG
Molecule: ribosomal RNA, 852 nt
Filed under: Flavobacterium sp. 001xTSA12A_C04
Lineage: Bacteria; Pseudomonadati; Bacteroidota; Flavobacteriia; Flavobacteriales; Flavobacteriaceae
Description: bacterial SSU rRNA
Rfam family: Bacterial small subunit ribosomal RNA
Source: RNAcentral